This 1497-nucleotide ribosomal RNA is filed under the name uncultured bacterium. RNAcentral describes it as "16S ribosomal RNA". It matches the Rfam family "Bacterial small subunit ribosomal RNA". The record is from RNAcentral.
AGAGUUUGAUCCUGGCUCAGAUUGAACGCUGGCGGCAGGCCUAACACAUGCAAGUCGAGCGGCAGCGGGUCCUUCGGGCCAUGNNNNNNNNNNNNNNNNNNNNNNNNNNNNNNNNNNNNNNNNNNNNNNNNNNNNNNNNNNNNNNNNACUUGUGCUAAUACCGCAUACGUCCUACGGGAGAAAGUGGGGGAUCUUCGGACCUCACGCUAUCAGAUGGACCCGCGUCGGAUUAGCUAGUUGGUGAGGUAAAGGCUCACCAAGGCGACGAUCCGUAACUGGUCUGAGAGGAUGAUCAGUCACACUGGAACUGAGACACGGUCCAGACUCCUACGGGAGGCAGCAGUGGGGAAUAUUGGACAAUGGGCGAAAGCCUGAUCCAGCCAUGCCGCGUGUGUGAAGAAGGUCUUCGGAUUGUAAAGCACUUUAAGUUGGGAGGAAGGGCAGUAAGUUAAUACCUUGCUGUUUUGACGUUACCAACAGAAUAAGCACCGGCUAACUUCGUGCCAGCAGCCGCGGUAAUACGAAGGGUGCAAGCGUUAAUCGGAAUUACUGGGCGUAAAGCGCGCGUAGGUGGUUCGUUAAGUUGGAUGUGAAAGCCCCGGGCUCAACCUGGGAACUGCAUCCAAAACUGGCUAGCUAGAGUAUGGCAGAGGGUGGUGGAAUUUCCUGUGUAGCGGUGAAAUGCGUAGAUAUUAGGAGGAACACCAGUGGCGAAGGCGACUUCCUGGCUUGUAACUGACACUGAGGCGCGAAAGCGUGGGGAUCAAACAGGAUUAGAUACCCUGGUAGUCCACGCCGUAAACGAUGUCGACUAGCCGUUGGGAUCCUUGAGAUCUUAGUGGCGCAGCUAACGCAUUAAGUUGACCGCCUGGGGAGUACGGCCGCAAGGUUAAAACUCAAAUGAAUUGACGGGGGCCCGCACAAGCGGUGGAGCAUGUGGUUUAAUUCGAAGCAACGCGAAGAACCUUACCAGGCCUUGACAUGCAGAGAACUUUCCAGAGAUGGAUUGGUGCCUUCGGGGACCAUGAGACAGGUGCUGCAUGGCUGUCGUCAGCUCGUGUCGUGAGAUGUUGGGUUAAGUCCCGUAACGAGCGCAACCCUUGUCCUUAGUUGCCAGCGAGUAAUGUCGGGAACUCUAAGGAGACUGCCGGUGACAAACCGGAGGAAGGUAGGGAUGACGUCAAGUCAUCAUGGCCCUUAUAGGUAGGGCUACACACGUGCUACAAUGGCCGGUACAAAAGGCAGCGAAACCGCGAGGUGGAGCAAAUCCCUUAAAGCCGGUCGUAGUCCGGAUUGGAGUCUGCAACUCGACUCCAUGAAGUUGGAAUCGCUAGUAAUCGUGGAUCAGAACGCCACGGUGAAUACGUUCCCGGGCCUUGUACACACCGCCCGUCACACCAUGGGAGUGGGUUGCACCAGAAGUGAUUAGUCUAACCGUAAGGGGGACGAUCACCACGGUGUGGUUCAUGACUGGGGUGAAGUCGUAACAAGGUAACC